UACGAAGGGGGCUAGCGUUGCUCGGAAUUACUGGGCGUAAAGCGUGCGCAGGCGGCUUUGCAAGACAGAUGUGAAAUCCCCGGGCUCAACCUGGGAACUGCAUUUGUGACUGCAAGGCUAGAGUACGGCAGAGGGGGAUGGAAUUCCGCGUGUAGCAGUGAAAUGCGUAGAUAUGCGGAGGAACACCAAUGGCGAAGGCAAUCCCCUGGGCCUGUACUGACGCUCAUGCACGAAAGCGUGGGUAUCAAACAGG
RNAcentral lists this ribosomal RNA (253 nucleotides) under uncultured bacterium. Its description in RNAcentral is "partial 16S ribosomal RNA". It matches the Rfam family "Bacterial small subunit ribosomal RNA", at positions 524 to 776 of the family's 1533-position model. The record is from RNAcentral.